Molecule: ribosomal RNA, 431 nt
Filed under: uncultured bacterium
Lineage: Bacteria
Description: bacterial SSU rRNA
Rfam family: Bacterial small subunit ribosomal RNA
Source: RNAcentral
GACGAACGCUGGCGGCGUGCUUAACACAUGCAAGUCGAACGGUGACGAGGAGCUUGCUCCUCUGAUCAGUGGCGAACGGGUGAGUAACACGUGGGCAACCUGCCCCUGACUUCGGGAUAACGCUUCGAAAGAGGUGCUAAUACCGGAUAUGAGUCCCUCCGGCAUCUGAGGGACUGGAAAGUUUUUCGGUCAGGGAUGGGCCCGCGGCCUAUCAGCUUGUUGGUGAGGUAACGGUUCACCAAGGCGACGACGGGUAGCCGGCCUGAGAGGGCGACCGGCCACACUGGGACUGAGACACGGCCCAGACUCCUACGGGAGGCAGCAGUGGGGAAUAUUGCGCAAUGGGCGAAAGCCUGACGCAGCAACGCCGCGUGAGGGAUGACGGCCUCGGUUGUAACGUCUUCUAGCAGGAGAAGACGAAGUAGACGGUA